GAUUGGUGCUUGCAUCAUGAUUUACAUUUGAGUGAGUGGCGAACUGGUGAGUAACACGUGGGAAACCUGCCCAGAAGCGGGGGAUAACACCUGGAAACAGAUGCUAAUACCGCAUAACAACUUGGACCGCAUGGUCCGAGUUUGAAAGAUGGCUUCGGCUAUCACUUUUGGAUGGUCCCGCGGCGUAUUAGCUAGAUGGUGGGGUAACGGCUCACCAUGGCAAUGAUACGUAGCCGACCUGAGAGGGUAAUCGGCCACAUUGGGACUGAGACACGGCCCAAACUCCUACGGGAGGCAGCAGUAGGGAAUCUUCCACAAUGGACGAAAGUCUGAUGGAGCAACGCCGCGUGAGUGAAGAAGGGUUUCGGCUCGUAAAACUCUGUUGUUAAAGAAGAACAUAUCUGAGAGUAACUGUUCAGGUAUUGACGGUAUUUAACCAGAAAGCCACGGCUAACUACGUGCCAGCAGCCGCGGUAAUACGUAGGUGGCAAGCGUUGUCCGGAUUUAUUGGGCGUAAAGCGAGCGCAGGCGGUUUUUUAAGUCUGAUGUGAAAGCCUUCGGCUCAACCGAAGAAGUGCAUCGGAAACUGGGAAACUUGAGUGCAGAAGAGGACAGUGGAACUCCAUGUGUAGCGGUGAAAUGCGUAGAUAUAUGGAAGAACACCAGUGGCGAAGGCGGCUGUCUGGUCUGUAACUGACGCUGAGGCUCGAAAGUAUGGGUAGCAAACAGGAUUAGAUACCCUGGUAGUCCAUACCGUAAACGAUGAAUGCUAAGUGUUGGAGGGUUUCCGCCCUUCAGUGCUGCAGCUAACGCAUUAAGCAUUCCGCCUGGGGAGUACGGCCGCAAGGCUGAAACUCAAAGGAAUUGACGGGGGCCCGCACAAGCGGUGGAGCAUGUGGUUUAAUUCGAAGCUACGCGAAGAACCUUACCAGGUCUUGACAUACUAUGCAAAUCUAAGAGAUUAGACGUUCCCUUCGGGGACAUGGAUACAGGUGGUGCAUGGUUGUCGUCAGCUCGUGUCGUGAGAUGUUGGGUUAAGUCCCGCAACGAGCGCAACCCUUAUUAUCAGUUGCCAGCAUUAAGUUGGGCACUCUGGUGAGACUGCCGGUGACAAACCGGAGGAAGGUGGGGAUGACGUCAAAUCAUCAUGCCCCUUAUGACCUGGGCUACACACGUGCUACAAUGGAUGGUACAACGAGUUGCGAACUCGCGAGAGUAAGCUAAUCUCUUAAAGCCAUUCUCAGUUCGGAUUGUAGGCUGCAACUCGCCUACAUGAAGUCGGAAUCGCUAGUAAUCGCGGAUCAGCAUGCCGCGGUGAAUACGUUCCCGGGCCUUGUACACACCGCCCGUCACACCAUGAGAGUUUGUAACACCCAAAGU
RNAcentral lists this ribosomal RNA (1380 nucleotides) under Lactiplantibacillus plantarum. RNAcentral describes it as "bacterial SSU rRNA". It matches the Rfam family "Bacterial small subunit ribosomal RNA", at positions 71 to 1427 of the family's 1533-position model. The record is from RNAcentral. Lineage: Bacteria; Bacillati; Bacillota; Bacilli; Lactobacillales; Lactobacillaceae.